GAUGAACGCUGGCGGCGUGCCUAAUACAUGCAAGUCGAGCGAACGGACGAGAAGCUUGCUUCUCUGAUGUUAGCGGCGGACGGGUGAGUAACACGUGGAUAACCUACCUAUAAGACUGGGAUAACUUCGGGAAACCGGAGCUAAUACCGGAUAAUAUUUUGAACCGCAUGGUUCAAAAGUGAAAGACGGUCUUGCUGUCACUUAUAGAUGGAUCCGCGCUGCAUUAGCUAGUUGGUAAGGUAACGGCUUACCAAGGCAACGACGCAUAGCCGACCUGAGAGGGUGAUCGGCCACACUGGAACUGAGACACGGUCCAGACUCCUACGGGAGGCAGCAGUAGGGAAUCUUCCGCAAUGGGCGAAAGCCUGACGGAGCAACGCCGCGUGAGUGAUGAAGGUCUUCGGAUCGUAAAACUCUGUUAUUAGGGAAGAACAUAUGUGUAAGUAACUGUGCACAUCUUGACGGUACCUAAUCAGAAAGCCACGGCUAACUACGUGCCAGCAGCCGCGGUAAUACGUAGGUGGCAAGCGUUAUCCGGAAUUAUUGGGCGUAAAGCGCGCGUAGGCGGUUUUUUAAGUCUGAUGUGAAAGCCCACGGCUCAACCGUGGAGGGUCAUUGGAAACUGGAAAACUUGAGUGCAGAAGAGGAAAGUGGAAUUCCAUGUGUAGCGGUGAAAUGCGCAGAGAUAUGGAGGAACACCAGUGGCGAAGGCGACUUUCUGGUCUGUAACUGACGCUGAUGUGCGAAAGCGUGGGGAUCAAACAGGAUUAGAUACCCUGGUAGUCCACGCCGUAAACGAUGAGUGCUAAGUGUUAGGGGGUUUCCGCCCCUUAGUGCUGCAGCUAACGCAUUAAGCACUCCGCCUGGGGAGUACGACCGCAAGGUUGAAACUCAAAGGAAUUGACGGGGACCCGCACAAGCGGUGGAGCAUGUGGUUUAAUUCGAAGCAACGCGAAGAACCUUACCAAAUCUUGACAUCCUUUGACAACUCUAGAGAUAGAGCUUUCCCCUUCGGGGGACAAAGUGACAGGUGGUGCAUGGUUGUCGUCAGCUCGUGUCGUGAGAUGUUGGGUUAAGUCCCGCAACGAGCGCAACCCUUAAGCUUAGUUGCCAUCAUUAAGUUGGGCACUCUAAGUUGACUGCCGGUGACAAACCGGAGGAAGGUGGGGAUGACGUCAAAUCAUCAUGCCCCUUAUGAUUUGGGCUACACACGUGCUACAAUGGACAAUACAAAGGGCAGCGAAACCGUGAGGUCAAGCAAAUCCCAUAAAGUUGUUCUCAGUUCGGAUUGUAGUCUGCAACUCGACUACAUGAAGCUGGAAUCGCUAGUAAUCGUAGAUCAGCAUGCUACGGUGAAUACGUUCCCGGGUCU
This 1372-nucleotide ribosomal RNA is filed under the name uncultured bacterium. RNAcentral describes it as "bacterial SSU rRNA". It matches the Rfam family "Bacterial small subunit ribosomal RNA", at positions 28 to 1381 of the family's 1533-position model. The record is from RNAcentral.